GACCCAAUUUGACUAACGUGGAAGUCUCCGUUACCGUCUUCUUAGAAACGGGUUUGAAGAAAAAAAAAAUUGCAACUUUGAUUCAGAGACAGAGAGAGAGAGAACGGGUAAAAAGUGGGUAAAAUCCCAAUAAUAAAGAAUGACAUCUCUGGAGCUAUUGUUCUUCUUCUUCUUCUUCACCGCCCCCGUGCUCGGAUACAAGCUCCCCAAACCCGAAAAUUCAUCUCUAUGAUUGAGGUAGAAACGAGGGGGUAAAAGCCUCAGUUCAUUGAGGAUUGAGGUAGAAAGAAGUCGAGGUACCUCCCUCUGGUACCCUUCCCAAAGCCAUAUCACCGAUCAUGGGAUCGGUUAAUCCCAUUCUCGCCUCCGCCGAAAAACGAAGAAUUUCGAAGAAGAACUGGUGCAGAUUAAAGAAUCAGCCCCCUCCAACUUAUCAUUCAAGGCAUUCGACGAUCCCUCUCCCUUUGCAUGUUGAAGACCGCUUCCAAGCUUGGAGCUGAUUCCAAGCAGAAAUCUGUUCAAACUGUCACAAAAACUGAGAAUCGUGUGUAGCACGGGAAAAUCCAUACAGGUUGAAUGGUUGGUUGACUGGGUUGAGAUCUAUUGCUUGUCGGCAAGGUUUCGUGGCCAUAGGAGGUUAAUAUGCAGAUACUUGAUGUGAGGUGAAAGAUCGGAUCGGAGUUGGAUGACAGGUGGUGGUUUGGAUCGAGGAUUGGUGGCCAUCGUCAGUUUCGGUGGUUCUGCGUUCCUUGCAGAACUCGAAAUGGGCCUGGACUUGGUGGUUCGAAAUGGGCCUGGACGUUCGAAGGGCCUAGGCGUUUGCCAUGGGCUUGGGGUUUUUUAUUGUUUUUAUUUAUUUUGUAUGUAUUUUUAUUUUUUAUGAAUAAAUAAACUACACUUUGUUAUCUCAAAUUUGUCCGUGACAUAAAACUAAAAUGG
Long non-coding RNA from Rosa chinensis, 939 nucleotides. RefSeq lists it as uncharacterized. The record is from RefSeq and is a predicted model, not a curated record. NCBI's taxonomy places the organism in Eukaryota, Viridiplantae, Streptophyta, Magnoliopsida, Rosales, Rosaceae. The transcript is spliced from 2 exons.